AUGAACGUUGGCGGCGUGGAUUAGGCAUGCAAGUCGAGCGAGAAGUCUGCCGCAAGGCGGGCGGAAAGCGGCGUAAGGGAGAGUAACGCGUGGAUUAUCUACCCCUGGAUCCGGGAUAGCUGCGGGAAACUGCAGGUAAUACCGGAUGAUGUCUCCGGACCAAAGGUGUGAUUCCGUCCAGGGAUGAGUCCGCGUCCUAUUAGCUUGUUGGCAGGGUAACGGCCUACCAAGGCUACGAUGGGUACGGGGUGUGAGAGCACGACCCCGCUCACUGGGACUGAGACACUGCCCAGACACCUACGGGUGGCUGCAGUCGAGGAUCUUCGGCAAUGGGCGCAAGCCUGACCGAGCGACGCCGCGUGUGGGAUGAAGGCCUUCGGGUUGUAAACCACUGUCAGGGGGGAGGAAAUGCCGGAUGGUAAUUCAUAAUCCAUUCGGUUUGACCUAUCCCUAGAGGAAGUACGGGCUAAGUUCGU
Molecule: ribosomal RNA, 476 nt
Filed under: uncultured bacterium
Lineage: Bacteria
Description: bacterial SSU rRNA
Rfam family: Bacterial small subunit ribosomal RNA
Source: RNAcentral